RNAcentral lists this unclassified non-coding RNA (329 nucleotides) under soil metagenome. RNAcentral describes it as "partial contains 5.8S ribosomal RNA, internal transcribed spacer 2, and large subunit ribosomal RNA". The stretch from base 1 to 120 matches the Rfam family "5.8S ribosomal RNA", at positions 35 to 154 of the family's 154-position model. The record is from RNAcentral.
GAUGAAGAACGUAGCGAAAUGCGAUAAGUAAUGUGAAUUGUAGAAUUCAGUGAAUCAUCGAAUCUUUGAACGCACAUUGCGCCCUCUGGUAUUCCGGGGGGCAUGCCUGUUCGAGCGUCAUUAUAACCACUCAAGCUCUCGCUUGGUAUUGGGGUUCGCGGUUCCGCGGCCCCUAAAAUCAGUGGCGGUGCCUGUCGGCUCUACGCGUAGUAAUACUCCUCGCGUCUGGGUCCGGUAGGUCUACUUGCCAGCAACCCCCAAUUUUUACAGGUUGACCUCGGAUCAGGUAGGGAUACCCGCUGAACUUAAGCAUAUCAAUAAGCGGAGGA